RNAcentral lists this ribosomal RNA (454 nucleotides) under uncultured bacterium. RNAcentral's name for it is "bacterial SSU rRNA". It matches the Rfam family "Bacterial small subunit ribosomal RNA", at positions 75 to 535 of the family's 1533-position model. The record is from RNAcentral.
CAAUACACAUUGAUGGCGAGCGGCGGACGGGUGAGUAAUGCAUGGGAAUCUGCCCAGUAGCGGGGGACAACCCGGAGAAAUCCGGGCUAAUACCGCAUACGCCCUACGGGGGAAAGCGGGGGACCGAAAGGCCUCGCACUAUUGGAGGAGCCCAUGUCCGAUUAGCUAGUUGGUGAGGUAACGGCUCACCAAGGCAACGAUCGGUAGCUGGUCUGAGAGGACGAUCAGCCACACCGGAACUGAGACACGGUCCGGACUCCUACGGGAGGCAGCAGUGGGGAAUAUUGCGCAAUGGGCGAAAGCCUGACGCAGCGACGCCGCGUGGGGGAUGACGCUUUUCGGAGUGUAAACCCCUUUCGAUCGGGACGAAUGCCUCGCAAGAGGAGUGACGGUACCGGUAGAAGAAGCCCCGGCUAACUACGUGCCAGCAGCCGCGGUAAUACGUAGGGGGCCA